This 486-nucleotide ribosomal RNA is filed under the name uncultured bacterium. RNAcentral describes it as "bacterial SSU rRNA". It matches the Rfam family "Bacterial small subunit ribosomal RNA", at positions 15 to 518 of the family's 1533-position model. The record is from RNAcentral.
GAUCUUGGUCAGGACGAACGCUGGCGGCGUGCCUAACACAUGCAAGUCGAGCGAGGAGAUUCCUUCGGGAUGAUCCUAGCGGCGGACGGGUGAGUAACACGUGGGCAACCUGCCUCAUAGAGAGGAAUAGCCUUCCGAAAGGGAGAUUAAUACCUCAUAACAUUGCAGUUUCGCAUGGAACAGCAAUUAAAGGAGUAAUCCGCUAUGAGAUGGGCCCGCGGCGCAUUAGCUAGUUGGUGAGGUAACGGCUCACCAAGGCGACGAUGCGUAGCCGACCUGAGAGGGUGAUCGGCCACAUUGGGACUGAGACACGGCCCAGACUCCUACGGGAGGCAGCAGUGGGGAAUAUUGCACAAUGGGGGAAACCCUGAUGCCAGCAACGCCGCGUGAGUGAUGACGGCCUUCGGGUUGUAAAGCUCUGUCUUCAGGGACGAUAAUGACGGUACCUGAGGAGGAAGCCACGGCUAACUACGUGCCAGCCGCCGC